Molecule: ribosomal RNA, 253 nt
Filed under: uncultured bacterium
Lineage: Bacteria
Description: partial 16S ribosomal RNA
Rfam family: Bacterial small subunit ribosomal RNA
Source: RNAcentral
UACGUAGGGGGCUAGCGUUGUCCGGAAUCAUUGGGCGUAAAGCGCACGUAGGCGGCCUGAUAAGUCGGGUGUGAAAGCCCUGGGCUCAACCCAGGAAGUGCACUCGAAACUGUCAGGCUUGAAUAUGGAAGAGGGUCGCGGAAUUCCCGGUGUAGAGGUGAAAUUCGUAGAUAUCGGGAGGAACACCAGUGGCGAAGGCGGCGACCUGGGCCAAUAUUGACGCUGAGGUGCGAAAGCGUGGGGAGCAAACAGG